Molecule: ribosomal RNA, 492 nt
Filed under: uncultured bacterium
Lineage: Bacteria
Description: partial 16S ribosomal RNA
Rfam family: Bacterial small subunit ribosomal RNA
Source: RNAcentral
AGUGAACGCUGGCGGUAGGCCUAACACAUGCAAGUCGAACGGCAGCACAGUAAGAGCUUGCUCUUACGGGUGGCGAGUGGCGGACGGGUGAGGAAUACAUCGGAAUCUACUUUUUCGUGGGGGAUAACGUAGGGAAACUUACGCUAAUACCGCAUACGACCUACGGGUGAAAGCAUGGGAUCUUCGGACCUUGCGCGAUUGUAUGAGCCGAGGUCGGAUUAGCUAGUUGGCGGGGUAAAGGCCCACCAAGGCGACGAUCCGUAGCUGGUCUGAGAGGAUGAUCAGCCACACUGGAACUGAGACACGGUCCAGACUCCUACGGGAGGCAGCAGUGGGGAAUAUUGGACAAUGGGCGCAAGCCUGAUCCAGCCAUACCGCGUGGGUGAAGAAGGCCUUCGGGUUGUAAAGCCCUUUUGUUGGGAAAGAAAAGCAGCAGGUUAAUACCCCGCUGUUCUGACGGUACCCAAAGAAUAAGCACCGGCUAACUUCGUG